Molecule: ribosomal RNA, 587 nt
Filed under: uncultured bacterium
Lineage: Bacteria
Description: bacterial SSU rRNA
Rfam family: Bacterial small subunit ribosomal RNA
Source: RNAcentral
CCUACGGGAGGCAGCAGUGGGGAAUUUUGGACAAUGGGGGCAACCCUGAUCCAGCCAUGCCGCGUGAGUGAAGAAGGCCUUCGGGUUGUAAAGCUCUUUCGGCCGGGAAGAAAUCGCAUGGGUUAAUACCCUGUGCGGAUGACGGUACCGGCAUAAGAAGCACCGGCUAACUACGUGCCAGCAGCCGCGGUAAUACGUAGGGUGCGAGCGUUAAUCGGAAUUACUGGGCGUAAAGCGUGCGCAGGCGGUUUUGUAAGACAGGCGUGAAAUCCCCGGGCUCAACCUGGGAACUGCGCUUGUGACUGCAAGGCUAGAGUACGGCAGAGGGGGGUGGAAUUCCACGUGUAGCAGUGAAAUGCGUAGAGAUGUGGAGGAACACCAAUGGCGAAGGCAGCCCCCUGGGUCGAUACUGACGCUCAUGCACGAAAGCGUGGGUAGCAAACAGGAUUAGAUACCCUGGUAGUCCACGCCCUAAACGAUGUCAACUAGGUGUUGGGUGGGUAAAACCAUUUAGUACCGUAGCUAACGCGUGAAGUUGACCGCCUGGGGAGUACGGCCGCAAGGUUAAAACUCAAAGGAAUUGACGG